GGUGAGUAACACGUAUGCAACCUACCUGUAAGAGGGGAAUAACCCGGAGAAAUUCGGACUAAUACCGCAUAAUACUGAUUAUCUGCAUGGAUUGAUCAGUGAAACAUUUAUGGCUUACAGAUGGGCAUGCGUAUGAUUAGAUAGUUGGUAGGGUAACGGCCUACCAAGUCAACGAUCAUUAGGGGUUCUGAGAGGAAGGCCCCCCACACUGGUACUGAGACACGGACCAGACUCCUACGGGAGGCAGCAGUGAGGAAUAUUGGUCAAUGGGCGAGAGCCUGAACCAGCCAAGUCGCGUGAAGGAAGAAGGUUCUAUGGAUUGUAAACUUCUUUUGUAAGGGAAUAAAAAGAGUUACGUGUAACUUAUUGUAUGUACUUUACGAAUAAGGAUCGGCUAACUCCGUGCCAGCAGCCGCGGUAAUACGGAGGAUCCAAGCGUUAUCCGGAUUUAUUGGGUUUAAAGGGUGCGUAGGCGGACCCUUAAGUCAGUGGUGAAAGUUUGCAGCUCAACUGUAAAAUUGCCAUUGAAACUGAGGGUCUUGAGUGUAAAUAAGGUAGGCGGA
Molecule: ribosomal RNA, 563 nt
Filed under: uncultured Bacteroidota bacterium
Lineage: Bacteria; Pseudomonadati; Bacteroidota
Description: bacterial SSU rRNA
Rfam family: Bacterial small subunit ribosomal RNA
Source: RNAcentral